This 517-nucleotide ribosomal RNA is filed under the name Fusarium sp. FG30. RNAcentral describes it as "eukaryotic LSU rRNA". The stretch from base 193 to 346 matches the Rfam family "5.8S ribosomal RNA". Lineage: Eukaryota; Fungi; Ascomycota; Sordariomycetes; Hypocreales; Nectriaceae. The record is from RNAcentral.
UCGUAACAAGGUCUCCGUUGGUGAACCAGCGGAGGGAUCAUUACCGAGUUUACAACUCCCAAACCCCUGUGAACAUACCUAUACGUUGCCUCGGCGGAUCAGCCCGCGCCCCGUAAAAAGGGACGGCCCGCCCGAGGACCCCUAAACUCUGUUUUUAGUGGAACUUCUGAGUAAAACAAACAAAUAAAUCAAAACUUUCAACAACGGAUCUCUUGGUUCUGGCAUCGAUGAAGAACGCAGCAAAAUGCGAUAAGUAAUGUGAAUUGCAGAAUUCAGUGAAUCAUCGAAUCUUUGAACGCACAUUGCGCCCGCCAGUAUUCUGGCGGGCAUGCCUGUUCGAGCGUCAUUUCAACCCUCAAGCUCAGCUUGGUGUUGGGACUCGCGGUAACCCGCGUUCCCCAAAUCGAUUGGCGGUCACGUCGAGCUUCCAUAGCGUAGUAAUCAUACACCUCGUUACUGGUAAUCGUCGCGGCCACGCCGUAAAACCCCAACUUCUGAAUGUUGACCUCGGAUCAGG